This 400-nucleotide ribosomal RNA is filed under the name uncultured bacterium. Its description in RNAcentral is "bacterial SSU rRNA". It matches the Rfam family "Bacterial small subunit ribosomal RNA", at positions 356 to 773 of the family's 1533-position model. The record is from RNAcentral.
GGGGAAUAUUGGACAAUGGGCGCAAGCCUGAUCCAGCCAUGCCGCGUGUGUGAUGAAGGCCUUAGGGUUGUAAAGCACUUUCGCCGAUGAAGAUAAUGACGGUAGUCGGAGAAGAAGCCCCGGCUAACUUCGUGCCAGCAGCCGCGGUAAUACGAAGGGGGCAAGCGUUGUUCGGAUUUACUGGGCGUAAAGCGUACGUAGGCGGAUAAUUAAGUCAGGGGUGAAAUCCCGGGGCUCAACCUCGGAACUGCCUUUGAUACUGGUUGUCUUGAGUCCGGGAGAGGUGAGUGGAACUCCUAGUGUAGAGGUGAAAUUCGUAGAUAUUAGGAAGAACACCAGUGGCGAAGGCGGCUCACUGGCCCGGAACUGACGCUGAUGUACGAAAGCGUGGGGAGCAAAC